RNAcentral lists this transfer RNA (73 nucleotides) under Bos taurus (domestic cattle). It matches the Rfam family "tRNA". Rfam says of the family: Transfer RNA (tRNA) molecules are approximately 80 nucleotides in length. Their secondary structure includes four short double-helical elements and three loops (D, anti-codon, and T loops). The record is from Rfam by way of RNAcentral. Lineage: Eukaryota; Metazoa; Chordata; Mammalia; Artiodactyla; Bovidae. RNAcentral also lists the same sequence under 2 other names.
UCCUAGGUGGCUCAAAUGGUAAAGAAUCUGCUUGCAAUGCAGGGAGACCCAGAUUCGAUACCUGGAUUGGGAA